This is a non-coding RNA of Myotis lucifugus (little brown bat), 74 nucleotides long. The record is from Rfam. NCBI's taxonomy places the organism in Eukaryota, Metazoa, Chordata, Mammalia, Chiroptera, Vespertilionidae.
UGGGGGGUGGGGGGGUCUCUUAGCCCAGAUUGAGAGAGGGCGCAGGCCAGGCCGAGAGACCCCACUGGUGCACA